This 1494-nucleotide ribosomal RNA is filed under the name Triticum aestivum (bread wheat). Its description in RNAcentral is "partial small subunit ribosomal RNA". Lineage: Eukaryota; Viridiplantae; Streptophyta; Magnoliopsida; Poales; Poaceae. The record is from RNAcentral.
AUGCCGCCGCCCCCCGCCCGCCGGCUCGGAUUGGCGGCGCCCUGCCCGGUGGCCACCGCGCAGUCGGCGAAGCCGGCGAAGGGACGAGGAGCCAACGUCAAACGGACGGCCAACCGCAGCCGCAAGCCGGCCGACAGUUCUACGCGGCCGUUGAAGCUCUCAAAGGCGGCCGCGGCGGCUCGGGGCGACGAGUCGCAGACGGUGCGGACGGCGGCCUCCUCUAGCAGCCACACCUCCAUUCCUCCACCUCCCCCGCCGCCACCGCCGGCCGUGGAGGAAGAUGUGGCCACGCCGACGGCCACUGCCUCCAACAUGUUCGACGAAAUUGUUGAUGAUGAAGCUUUCAUGCACGCAACAAAUGUGGCAAAUGAUGAUUACAUAUAUGAGUCACAAGAAUAUGAAACCCAAUAUGAUGAUGACAAUCUUGAUAUGGAUGAUGAGGGCUUCAUUGCCAAGGGAAGAAGUGGCAAUUAUAGCACCGUGGAGGAUGUGUUGAUAUGCACCGCUUGGAAGAAAAUCUCUCAAGAUGCAAGCGUUGGAAGUGACCAAACGAAAAUGAUUGCACAAGGAUUGUUUCGGGAGAGGAACAUGAAAGGCGAGAAGAAGAGAAGGAAAGGAAAAGCUUUCACUUUUCAUCAUUGCUACAAAGAGCUCAAGGAUGUGGAGAAGUGGAAAACUAGAGAGACUUUUGAAUCGUCGAAGAAGAAGAGUGUGUUGGUUGAGGAUGAAGAAGAUGACGCCAUUGAAGAGACGACCCCCACUCCUAACUCCGCGAGAAAAUCUUAUAGGCCCGAUGGAACCAAGAAACUCAAGGAAAUAGAGGAGAGGAGUGAGGCCGAGCGGCGAAGGGCGGCGACCGAGGAGAAGAGGGCGGCAGCCGAGGAGAGGUUGGCCGCGGCCGAGGAGAGGAAGGUGGAACUAGAGGAGAAGAAGGCCGCGGCCGACGAGAGGAAGAUGGUAGAAGAGAGGACACUCAAGUUUAUGUUCAUGGACACAUCAACUCUUGAUGCCAAGGCAAAGGCAUAUGUUGAACUUUGUCGCGAUGAAAUGCUCAUGAAGAAGCAAAUGCUCAUGAGGCAAAUGAUGAUGGAAGGAGGCAUGGGAGAUGCCAUGGGUGGAGCCAUCGGUGGUGCCAUGGGAGGUUACAUGAACAUGAUUGGAGGUGCCAUGAUUGGUGCAUUUGGCGGAAACAUGGGAGGUGGCUUCGGUGGCAUGGGAGGUGGCAACAUGGAAGGUGGCUUUGGCGGCAUGGGAGGUGGCUUUGGCGGCAUGGGAGGUGCUUUUGGUGGCAAGAUGAUGGGUGGCUAUGGCAGCAACAUAAGUGGCGUUGGAGGUGGAUAUGGCGGCAACAUGGGACCCAAUGAAGAUGGUUCCGGUGGUGCUCACGGCAACGAGAGUUCACCGCUUGUUGAGAACGUCGACAAAGACGGUGAUGGAGAUGAUGAUCGUACCACGGUUCACAACACCGGUGGUGUUGAUGACCCGAAUGAGUGA